Penaeus vannamei (Pacific white shrimp) is the source of this 297-nucleotide non-coding RNA. The record is from RefSeq and is a predicted model, not a curated record. Lineage: Eukaryota; Metazoa; Arthropoda; Malacostraca; Decapoda; Penaeidae.
UGAUACGAGUUUCGUUCAGUGCAAGUCCCUUCGGCUAAGCUCCUCAAGGCCGACUUGUGGUUAUCGCACCGUAUCAACUCAGAGAUGUGACGGUACGAACAGUAUCCUCGGGUGAGGGAUUCACCUGCAAUGAACGCGCACUCGUGACCUCCGCGCAGCAAAUGUUGAUGCUUCUUUGAAAAUGUGAUGGAUUGAUUAUGAAAAUGCGGCCAAAGAAGAAAAGAAAAAAAGUAAUUCCAUGUCGGAGCAGAGGUAAUCAAGACGGAACAUGUAUUACCAAUAAUAAUCAAAAUAAUA